UGGGGAAUAUUGGACAAUGGGCGCAAGCCUGAUCCAGCAAUGCCGCGUGUGUGAAGAAGGCCUGCGGGUUGUAAAGCACUUUCGGUGGGGAGAAAGAGGCUAGUGCUAAUAACACUAGCGGAUGAUGUUACCCACAGAAGAAGCACCGGCUAACUCUGUGCCAGCAGCCGCGGUAAUACAGAGGGUGCAAGCGUUAAUCGGAAUUACUGGGCGUAAAGGGUGCGUAGGUGGUUGCGUAAGUUAGGUGUGAAAUUCCUGGGCUUAACCUGGGGACUGCGCCUGAUACUGCGUAGCUAGAGUACUGUAGAGGGAAGUGGAAUUUCCGGUGUAGCGGUGAAAUGCGUAGAUAUCGGAAGGAACAUCGGUGGCGAAGGCGACUUCCUGGACAGCUACUGACACUGAGGCACGAAAGCAUGGGGAGCAAACAGG
RNAcentral lists this ribosomal RNA (429 nucleotides) under uncultured bacterium. Its description in RNAcentral is "bacterial SSU rRNA". It matches the Rfam family "Bacterial small subunit ribosomal RNA", at positions 355 to 776 of the family's 1533-position model. The record is from RNAcentral.